GAAGAAGGGAGAGGAGGAGGAGGAGGAGAGAGGAAGACACCUAACACAACUAGGACGACAGACGUGAUCAGCAAGAUGGAGAACACACAAAGACACACAAAGGGUACCCUCUCUCCCUCUGACACCUUCUCCGUCUCAACCUCUCAGACCAAACCCCACUGUAGACCUUUGAGAAAGAGAGAGGAAGGGCAGAAGAGAGCGCGAGGGCUGCAGUGAGCUCUACGAUAGUGACGAGCCCGGAACAAAACAUCGAUCAUCGACACGGCUGAUUAGCUGUCCACUCUUCCAGAACGAGUGCAAGUAAACAGACAACUAAGAAGGACAUUGUGACCUCUUGUGGACAAUCAGAGACUUACACCUGAGAACGAAGGAGAACGCUGUCCAAAGGAGAAGGCCCAAUCAACCCUCCUCACAAAGCGGAACCCUUUCCACGAAUGCCUGGGCCCAACAGAGAUACCCAACGAAGACCUUCAACAUGUACAGUGGGGCAAAAAAGUAUUUAGUCAGCCACCAAUUGUGCAAGUUCUCCAACUUAAAAAAAUGAGAGAGGCCUGUAAUUGUCAUCAUAGGUACACUUCAACUAUGACAGACAAAAUGAGAGAAAAAAUCCAGAAAAUCACAUUGUAGGAUUUUUAAUGAAUUUAUUUGCAAAUUAUGGUGGAAAAUAAGUAUCUGUAUUCAUAGUCAUGUAAAAUUCAGAGAUUAGGGCCUAAUGAAUUUAAG
Long non-coding RNA from Oncorhynchus tshawytscha (Chinook salmon), 723 nucleotides. NCBI's taxonomy places the organism in Eukaryota, Metazoa, Chordata, Actinopteri, Salmoniformes, Salmonidae. The record is from Ensembl.